GCCGGGGUGUUGGAAUGGCAGACAAAGCAGACUUAAAAUCUGCUGUUCCGUGAGGAGCGUGCGGGUUCAAGUCCCGCCCCCGGCA
Molecule: transfer RNA, 85 nt
Filed under: Candidatus Omnitrophota bacterium
Lineage: Bacteria; Pseudomonadati; Candidatus Omnitrophota
Description: Candidatus Omnitrophica bacterium tRNA-Leu
Rfam family: tRNA
About the family: Transfer RNA (tRNA) molecules are approximately 80 nucleotides in length. Their secondary structure includes four short double-helical elements and three loops (D, anti-codon, and T loops).
Source: RNAcentral